AACGCUAGCUACAGGCUUAACACAUGCAAGUCGCGGGGUAACAUCUGGUAGAGCUUGCUCUUCCAGGAUGACGACCGGCGCACGGGUGAGUAACGCGUAUCCCACCUGGCCCAUACCACGGGAUAGCCCGUCGAAAGGCGGAUUAAUACCGUAUGCUGUCAUUAAGAUGCAUAUAUUGAUGACGAAAGGACUGGCGGUAUGGGAUGGGGAUGCGUCUGAUUAGCUUGUUGGCGGGGUAACGGCCCACCAAGGCGACGAUCAGUAGGGGUUCUGAGAGGAAGGUCCCCCACAUUGGAACUGAGACACGGUCCAAACUCCUACGGGAGGCAGCAGUGAGGAAUAUUGGUCAAUGGGCGCAAGCCUGAACCAGCCAAGUAGCGUGAGGGAAGACUGCCCUACGGGUUGUAAACCUCUUUUGUUUGGGAAUAAAGUGCGGGACGCGUCCCGCAUUGCAUGUACCAUUUGAAUAAGGACCGGCUAAUUCCGUGCCAGCAGCCGCGGUAAUACGGAAGGUCCGGGCGUUAUCCGGAUUUAUUGGGUUUAAAGGGAGCGCAGGCCGUGGGUUAAGCGUGUCGUGAAAUUCCGUCGCUCAACGGCGGACGUGCGGCGCGAACUGGUCCACUUGAGUACGCGGGACGUUGGCGGAAUUCGUGGUGUAGCGGUGAAAUGCUUAGAUAUCACGAAGAACUCCGAUUG
Molecule: ribosomal RNA, 696 nt
Filed under: uncultured bacterium
Lineage: Bacteria
Description: bacterial SSU rRNA
Rfam family: Bacterial small subunit ribosomal RNA
Source: RNAcentral